RNAcentral lists this ribosomal RNA (305 nucleotides) under uncultured bacterium. Its description in RNAcentral is "bacterial SSU rRNA". It matches the Rfam family "Bacterial small subunit ribosomal RNA", at positions 339 to 642 of the family's 1533-position model. The record is from RNAcentral.
CCUCGGGAGGCAGCAGUGAGGAAUAUUGGUCAAUGGGCGGGAGCCUGAACCAGCCAAGUCGCGUGAGGGAAGACGGUCCUAUGGAUUGUAAACCUCUUUUGCCGGGGGACAAACGGCGGCACGCGUGCCGUCCUGAGGGUACCCGGAGAAAAAGCAUCGGCUAACUCCGUGCCAGCAGCCGCGGUAAUACGGAGGAUGCGAGCGUUAUCCGGAUUUAUUGGGUUUAAAGGGUGCGUAGGCGGGAUGCCAAGUCAGCGGUCAAAUACGGGGGCUCAACCUGCGUCCGCCGUUGAAACUGGCGUUCU